GUGCUCUAGUCGGCAGCAUGUAUACAAAAAUUGGAAAGACACGGAGAUUAACAUGGCCCCUGUGCAAGGAUUACAUACAAAUUCGCUUAGUGUUGCAUUUUUUU
Small nuclear RNA from Molossus molossus (Pallas's mastiff bat), 104 nucleotides. NCBI's taxonomy places the organism in Eukaryota, Metazoa, Chordata, Mammalia, Chiroptera, Molossidae. The record is from RefSeq and is a predicted model, not a curated record.